GCGGACGGGUGAGUAAUGCUUGGGAAUCUGGCUUAUGGAGGGGGAUAACUACGGGAAACUGUAGCUAAUACCGCGUAGUAUCGGGAGAUGAAAGACUGGGACCGCAAGGCCAGUUGCCAUAAGGUGAACCCAAGUGGGAUUAGGUAGUUGGUGGGGUAAAGGCCUACCAAGCCGACGAUCUCUAGCUGGUCUGAGAGGAUGACCAGCCACACUGGAACUGAGACACGGUCCAGACUCCUACGGGAGGCAGCAGUGGGGAAUAUUGCGCAAUGGGGGGAACCCUGACGCAGCCAUGCCGCGUGAAUGAAGAAGGCCUUCGGGUUAUAAAGUUCUUUCGGUGAUGAGGAAGGUGUUUGUUUUAAUAGAGCAAGCAAUUGACGUUAGUCACAGAAGAAGCACCGGCUAACUCCGUGCCAGCAGCCGCGGUAAUACGGAGGGUGCGAGCGUUAAUCGUAAUAACUGGUUUUAAAGGGCACGCAGGCCGGUGACUUAAGUGAGAUGUGAAAUCCC
RNAcentral lists this ribosomal RNA (510 nucleotides) under uncultured Actinobacillus sp. Its description in RNAcentral is "bacterial SSU rRNA". It matches the Rfam family "Bacterial small subunit ribosomal RNA", at positions 98 to 603 of the family's 1533-position model. The record is from RNAcentral. Lineage: Bacteria; Pseudomonadati; Pseudomonadota; Gammaproteobacteria; Pasteurellales; Pasteurellaceae.